Molecule: ribosomal RNA, 217 nt
Filed under: uncultured bacterium
Lineage: Bacteria
Description: partial 16S ribosomal RNA
Rfam family: Bacterial small subunit ribosomal RNA
Source: RNAcentral
AAAUCUGCCCAUGUGCCCGGGACAACAGAUGGAAACGUCUGCUAAAACCGGAUAGGUGGCAAGGAGGCAUCUUCUUGCGAUUAAAGGGGCUACGGCCUUGAACAUGGAUGAUCCUGCGGUGCAUUAGCUGGUUGGUGAGGUAACGGCUCACCAAGGCGAUGAUGCAUAGCCGAUCUGAGAGGGUGAACGGCCACAUUGGGACUGAGACACGGCCCAA